GCCGCUCUGGCAGAAUUGGCAAAUGCACCGCCCGCUAAGCAGGGGCCGGUUGAUCCGGCUUCCGGGAUCGGGACCCGGGAGCGGCG
This 86-nucleotide transfer RNA is filed under the name Sarcina sp. DSM 11001. RNAcentral describes it as "tRNA_Pseudo_GCT". Lineage: Bacteria; Bacillati; Bacillota; Clostridia; Eubacteriales; Clostridiaceae. The record is from RNAcentral.